ACAGCCACUGACACGCUGGCAGCACAAUGAUGAUGUCACUGACUCUACUGCUGGCCACCCUGGGGCUCCUUGUUCAGGGUUCAUCAGGAGAAAUCAUCCUGACUCAGUCUCCUGGAUCUCAGUCUGUUCUUCCAGGACAGUCUGUCUCCAUCACAUGUAGAUCCAGUUCAAGUAUCUGUAACAGCCUCCACUGGUACCUUCAGAAACCUGGAGAAGCUCCUAAACUUCUUGUUUAUUAUGCUACAACUCGUCAUUCUGGAGUUUCUGAUCGUUUCAGUGGAAGUGGAUCUGGAUCUGACUUCACUUUGACCAUCAGUAGAGUUCAGACUGAAGAUUCAGGAGUUUAUUAUUGUCAGCAGAGUAACAGCGCACCGUUCACACAGUGA
Non-coding RNA from Mugil cephalus (flathead mullet), 386 nucleotides. The record is from the annotation of a RefSeq genome assembly. Lineage: Eukaryota; Metazoa; Chordata; Actinopteri; Mugiliformes; Mugilidae.